UAAAGGUGCAUGAGUGGUGUUUGGUUUGAUACGGGUGGUCGGCUCCCUGCUUGAGCAGGCACGGCCACGCGUGCAUUCCUCUUCAGUUGUGCGGCAAGGCUUGUAUCGUCUUGAUCGUAUAAGUGGGUUUCUUGUGUUGCAUACCUGAUCAAUGGCAUCGUUUUGAUCAAAAGCGUACCUUUUUCGUCUACCGAUGCACUUGUUGCAUUGUCGGAUGAACCGUAUAGCAUCUUCUUUGAUCCAUUCAGUUGACGUGUAUUCGUUGAUUGUUUGGCCCGUUGAGGGUGGCUUGGUCUCUCGGAUAUGGAAGCCAAAGUGGGCAUGGGUUCGCAAGAUCCCUUUAUUGCCCUCAUUGAGCGUUCUCGCUUCUCUUACACGACCGCCUUUCACGUAUGGCACGUCCCAGCGUGUUUGGCUAUGUCGAAGAGGAAUGCUACCUGGUUGAUCCUGCC
RNAcentral lists this unclassified non-coding RNA (452 nucleotides) under Nestotus lanuginosus. Its description in RNAcentral is "Stenotus lanuginosus partial external transcribed spacer". Lineage: Eukaryota; Viridiplantae; Streptophyta; Magnoliopsida; Asterales; Asteraceae. The record is from RNAcentral.